The submitters of this non-coding RNA (151 nucleotides) gave its source as unclassified sequences. The record is from Rfam.
AAUCGGCGUACAACACCGGGGACUUGUCCCCACCGUGGUGCCGAGGGAAGCAAGCCUCAGUAACAGCAGCCUUUUCGGGGCUGGAAAACUGAAAAAUAGAGUGUCGGGUAGGGUUUGGUAGGCCGGAAACGGUUCGAAGAAGCCGGGCCCG